GGGCCCGAGAGGCGGCCUCAGGUUAACUUCAAGCAUGUUGGGCUCUCCAGGAGGGAGAAGAGGCACCUUUGCCGUGGGUUGAGGACUCCUAGAACCAACCUGAGACUCCGCGGCCAUAUACACCUUACGACGUGUGUGUGUGUGGCGGGAGAUGGGAGGGGAGGAAUCCUGUAGAACCCAGAUCCCAUCAUUCCAGCAACUGCCAGAGCGUUCGAGAAUGUCAUGUCUGUACCUGUCUUCUCUCAUCUUUUGUGCCAACUGUUUUAUCAAACUUCUACCCCACUUUAGGUCUUCCAGUAGAUACCUGAAACCCUGAACUACAAUAUAUGUGAAAUACAGUGAAUGGCAGAAAUACUUUGAUAAAAGAUGUAAAUGCCUACCGACUGCAGAAGACAACAUCAACAAAGCACACUUCACAAAAAGUACAACACAAAUAUACUGCCCAGGUUCUAAAACAUGUAUAAGAGUUAACAAAAUCAGCUGAGGUUGAGCAGAAAUUGUAUAGGAAAAAAUAGGAAAAACACAGAGACCAAUCUCAGCUGCAAGAAGGUUCAGCUAGACACUGCAAGCAAAAGUAUAACUCCUGAAGAUACAGGAAAAGACCUUAACUGAGGGAUGGUUUCCUGCUGUGUCCUCGGAACCCCAGGGCCUGGUUCAUAGAGACAAGUAAGCAGUGACUGAAGAAAGUUGCAAAUGUGAAGACCUAGAAUUUACCAGUGAAUGACAAUUUGAAUGUGAGAAGCUUAGAAAAAGAGAAGAUGGUGGUCAGCAAGGGAAGAAGAAAAAUAAAAACAUGUGAAAAAAUGAGAGGAAUGGAUAUAGGCAGAGGACCAAAUGGCAUCAAACUCACAGCAAAUAGGCUAGAUUCACCUAUUUCAAAAGGAAAUUCUUUCUAGCAUAAAGAAAAGACAAAUAUUUAAGGUGAUGAAUAUCUCAACUACACUAAUUUGAUCUUUGACUCAAAUUAUAUGAAUGUAUUAAAUUAUUACCUAUACCCUGAAACUAUGCGCAUCUAUUAUGCAUCAAUAAAUAAUUAUUUAAAAAAAUAGAAAUGCUAGAACCGAAAAACUCAAUAAAGAAAUUAAAAAAGAAAAUCAAGCUACUGAAGAGAUCCCUGGGCUGUGAUGGAAACAAAUAAAAUGGCUUAUUUCUAAGGGCACUCAACUAUUGAGUAAGUCUGAGCCGAAAGGUAUAAAGUACCUUUGGCAAAUAAUAAUAAUAAUAACCACAAAAAUAAGCUUCUUAGAUAGCCUAUUGCUUUGUGGUUAUAAUAAUUAUACACUCCACUGGAUAGCAAGCAAUCUACUUAUCUACACGUGUAAGUUUGACUUGAAGUUUCUUCUAUUUUUCAUCUGCUGGAGUAACUCAAUUACUAGGCCAUCUGUAUUUGCAAAUCUGCAAAGUGAAUGUUGUCAUCCAGUAGCCUUGCCACAUGUGUCCUGAGUACUUUUUACAUUCUUUAGCUUCCUUGAUUCACUUCAGCCACCCUAGAAAUUACUGAGUUUCAAAUUAGAUUAAGUCUCCCUGAGAAGUGAAAUAAAUAUUGGAUGGAGAGAAGGAAAGAAGAUUCAGAUGGGUGGGGAUGAAGAAUGAGCCGUGUGAAGGAAGCAUGUUUGCUAAUAAACCUCACGGAGGAUGACCUGAGUACACAAUGCGGUUUCAUACUUUUAUCUUAAUGCUGCUCAUUAUAGCCAACUAUAAUCUCUGCCUGCCUGACAAUGGUUUGUGUAUAUGUCUGUUCGCCCACCUAGACCUGGAAUUCCCUGAAAGCAGAACCUAGUCUUCAUCUGCGUAUCCCCAGCUCCUAGAAUCAGGACUGGCACAAAGCUGUUACUCAGUAUCUUUUUGUUGAAUGAAGGAAGCAAAGACUCAAAUACAUUUUUUCAUUUUUUUCACCUUAUGAAACUUUUGGCCUCAUAAAACUUUUUGACUUAUGAAACUUUCUUAAGGGCUAUGAAGUAAGGUUGAAUGCAUUGCUUUGUGUUCAAAAUCCCUUCAGCCCCUGUGGUAGUCAAUGGAAAUUUAUAUAAUCUGAUUACUUAUUAUAUCACCAAACCUCCAGAGUUGGGCACAGACUGGAGGGUGAACCCACCAACUAAAAGAGGCAGAGGGACACAUGAGUGUUCACACAAGUGAUAAAUUAACAUAAACUACUUUAAAGGUUAUUUAAAAUUUACAUGUCUUGGAGUUAACCCUAAAGUAGCAGUUCUUAAUUUAGGGCUCAUGGAUCUUUAGCAAGUCCAAGGAUGAAUUUUAGGGGGCAUAUUUAUGAACCACAAAAACAAACAUCAAAGACAAAAUGAGUUAUACAAAGACAUGUGUUUUGGAAGGGAGGUGAUCUACAGCUGUCAUUAGAUUAUUGAAGGAGCCUAUGAUCCAAAAAUAAUAUAAUUCAUAACUUCAAACAGAUAUUUUCAGAGUAUGACAAGAAAUAUGCACAAGGAUGUUCAUCAUGGCAUAGAGAGAGUGGAAAAUUGGAAGUAAUCCAAAUGGAUUUCAAUAAAGGAGUGUUGAGCACAUAAAUAAAACAUAUAUGAUAUGCUG
Molecule: long non-coding RNA, 2544 nt
Filed under: Homo sapiens (human)
Lineage: Eukaryota; Metazoa; Chordata; Mammalia; Primates; Hominidae
Description: HSALNT0369042
Source: RNAcentral